Molecule: ribosomal RNA, 250 nt
Filed under: uncultured bacterium
Lineage: Bacteria
Description: partial 16S ribosomal RNA
Rfam family: Bacterial small subunit ribosomal RNA
Source: RNAcentral
UACGGAGGGUGCGAGCGUUGUCCGGAAUCACUGGGCGUAAAGGGCGCGUAGGCGGCUUCUUAAGCGUGUGGUGAAAGCUCGGGGCUCAACCCCGAGUCGGCCGUGCGAACUGGGAGGCUUGAGCACUGUAAAGGCAGGUGGAAUUCCGGGUGUAGCGGUGGAAUGCGUAGAGAUCCGGAAGAACACCGGUGGCGAAGGCGGCCUGCUGGGCAGUGGCUGACGCUGAGGCGCGACAGCGUGGGGAGCAAAC